CCUACGGGAGGCAGCAGUAGGGAAUUUUCGUCAAUGGGCGCAAGCCUGAACGAGCGAUGCCGCGUGAGUGAAGAAGGCCUUCGGGUCGUAAAGCUCUGUUGCGGGGGAAAAAAGGCAGCAUCAGGAAAUGGGUGCUGACUGCUGGUGCCCCGCCAGCAACUCCCGGAUAACUACGUGCCAGCAGCCGCGGUGAUACGUAGGGGGCGAGCGUUCGCCGGAAGGAGUGGGCGAAAAGGGUGCGAAGGCGGUCCAGCAAGUCUGGAGUGAAACGCAAGAGCUAAACUCAUGAAUGGCGUUGGAAACUGGAAGACUAGAGAGCAGGAGAGGGCGGUGGAACUCCAGGUGUAGCGGUAAAAUGCGUAGAGAUAUGGAAGAACACUAGUGGCGAAGGCGGCCGCCUGGCCUGUUGCUGACGCUGAGGCACGAAAGCGUGGGGAGCAAAUAGGAUUAGAUACCCGAGUAGUC
This 465-nucleotide ribosomal RNA is filed under the name uncultured bacterium. RNAcentral describes it as "partial 16S ribosomal RNA". It matches the Rfam family "Bacterial small subunit ribosomal RNA", at positions 338 to 795 of the family's 1533-position model. The record is from RNAcentral.